Molecule: ribosomal RNA, 493 nt
Filed under: uncultured bacterium
Lineage: Bacteria
Description: partial 16S ribosomal RNA
Rfam family: Bacterial small subunit ribosomal RNA
Source: RNAcentral
GACGAACGCUGGCGGCGUGCUUAACACAUGCAAGUCGAACGCUGAAGCCCUUUCGGGGGUGGAUGAGUGGCGAACGGGUGAGUAACACGUGGGUAAUCUGCCCUGUACUUCGGGAUAAGCCUUGGAAACGGGGUCUAAUACCGGAUAGGACCUGUCCUCGCAUGGGGGUGGGUGGAAAGUUCCGGCGGUAUGGGAUGAGCCCGCGGCCUAUCAGCUUGUUGGUGGGGUAGUGGCCUACCAAGGCGACGACGGGUAGCCGGGCUGAGAGGGGGACGGGCCAGACGGGGACUGAGACACGGCCCAGAGUCCUACGGGAGGCAGCAGUGGGGAAUCUUGCGCAAUGGGCGAAAGCCUGACGCGGCAACGCCGCGUGGGGGAUGACGGCCUUCGGGUUGUAAACCUCUUUCGACAUCGACGGAGGGGCCCUGUUGUGGGGUUUUGACGGUAGGUGUAGAAGAAGCACCGGCUAACUACGUGCCAGCAGCCGCAGUAA